Molecule: unclassified non-coding RNA, 5224 nt
Filed under: Polistes dominula (European paper wasp)
Lineage: Eukaryota; Metazoa; Arthropoda; Insecta; Hymenoptera; Vespidae
Description: tyrosine-protein phosphatase 69D, transcript variant X2
Source: RNAcentral
UAAAACUGUACAGUUAUAAAAGCAGAUUCCUCUAGAGUGCACUGUAUGCAUAGUAAUGCGCGUUCGAAGGUAGAGGAGUUUAUAUAGUUGCAUGUAGUGGCUCUGUAGAAAAGUCUGCCUACGUUAUGUUCCAUAAUAAUAUGAUUCAGUUUCACUAAGCACUGUUACAAAAUAUAAAGUGGAUAAGGAAUAUCUGAAAUGUGCGUUAACGCACAUAAGUGCGCAGUGUAGAAUGUUAGAGUGAAGUUUAAAUAGUAAUAAAUGCGAAGAGGUGAUACCAUAGAAAAGCGACAUGGCUUUCUGAGAGGGAUUUGGAUUGCGCAUGAAGACGUUAGAAAGUGAUAAAAGGGCCAGAAAAUAUAACGCUUACACCCGGCUGUCAGGACGCCAUGUUUCUUCUAAACGAUCUGCCGAUGUUGAAAACUUCUUUAUUAAUUAUUUGCUGUCUUAUUAUCGUUUCUGCUGACCUCGAUGACGGGGACACAGAGAAGACAGAAAAUAUUUGGCAAAAGAAUGAAAAAAUUGCUACAUUAGAGAUAACAAUAUCUCAAGAUGUAGAUGGAAUUGAAGCAGACAGUACACCUUCUUUAACAUGUAAACUUAAUGUGCCUGGCCAAGUCUGGUGGACUGCCAAGGGGAACAAUCUUACCACAAUAAAAGAUUUUGAAAAUGCCGGACGAUUUGAUAUUAAGAAAGCAAGUAGAAAUGAUACCGGUGAUUACAAGUGUAUGGCUCGUACUACUCAAGGAGAACUUCUUGAAAAAGAGAUUCAUAUUAGGGUUAUAGAACCUGGCAGAAUAAUAUCGGAUGGAGAUGUUAGAAUUAAAGUAUUAGAAUCAGCUAACCUGACAUGCCAUGUAUUUGGCUAUCCACUCUCAAAUUUUAGUUGGUUUAAAGGAAACGAUACUGAAACUAAUGAACAUUUGAAAAAUCAUUCGACUGUCACGCAUGUAAAUGAAACCUAUGUAAUAAUGACGUUAGAUUUUAAGGAUCUAUCUCGCAAAGAUAAUGGUACAUACGUUUGUCAAGCUGAAGAUAACAAGGGCACAAUAAGUGCCUAUACAAAUCUUUUUGUAAUUGAUGUACCAAAAGUUAGCAUUGAUUUUAUAAAAGCUGUUGGCGCUGGUAGUAUCUUCUUAAAUUGGACGGUAGAUGAUGGUAAUGAACCAAUUAAAGAAUAUCUAAUUAGACAUAUGAAAAAUGGAACAGAUAGUUUUCAAUUUUAUAAAGAACAAAUUGGUGGAAGUAUUUCGAGUUAUGUUUUGAAAUAUUUUGAAAAUGGUACGGCAUAUAAAAUUGGAAUUAGCGCUCAUAAUGCUGUUGGUUCAUCUCAUAUACAAGUUUAUCCGCAAUGGGUCACUACAUUAGAAAAAGAUCCAGUGUUUAUACCAAAAGUUUCUGUUAAUGGAGUCACUGAAAAUUCUAUUACUAUAGCAUGGACUGUACCACCACCACAUCUGAAAGAACACGUACACUUUUACAAUUUAAUGGCAACAUAUGAAAAUCAAAAACGACAGGCUUUUUAUCCAGCACAGCAGUUUACUGUAUAUGCAUUUGUAGAUCUUGAUCCAGCUACUACUUACAAUUUUAAAAUUGCUGCUUGUAGUGAAUAUACAAAACAAUGUGGUAAUUGGAGUACUGAGGUGAAUGGCACAACAUUAGAUGGAGUUGCUGGUCCUCCAGAAAAAUUGGUAGUUACGUGUCAAUAUGAUAACAUAAGCAGUUCUAGUUCUAUUUAUAUUACUUGGUUACCACCAAUAAAAUCAAAUGGUUUCAUAACUCGAUAUAAUCUACAAUUAACUGGUAUAGCAACAUUUAAAAAUGAUAUGGGCCGAUUAGAUAUUGACAGAUGGAAUUUAUUUAAGAGUAUUUCCAACAAAAACAACGUUAGAUAUGGUCAAAUACCAUCAAACACAAACUAUACGGUACACGUACAUGGUGUAACUAGGUCUCGUUCUCCAGGAAAAGAUUCAAUUGGUAAUUGCACUACUCCAGUUACUAUCCCUGACAGAGACAGUUUAAAUAUGAGAACAUGGAGAAAAAUUGAAAAUCAGGGUAGACAGUUAUUUAAAUUAUAUUUACCUCGUAUUUCUGAGAGAAAUGGCCCGAUAUGUUGUUAUAGAAUAUUUUUAGUGAAAUUAGCACCACAAACAUCUGUUUCUGAUUUACCACCACCUGAGGAAAUAAAUGUAUACUCCUAUAGUUAUGCCCAUAGUUCUCCAACAGGCGGUGCAUAUGCUGCAGAGGCAUUUGACAGUGAUCAAUUAAUAUCUGAAAUCUUCCUCGGCGAUGGAGUAUCUUUUAAUGGCAGUGUUCAAUGUAAUCGAUGUAUUGGUCUUAAAGCUAAAGGACCACCAUCUGUAUUACAUUUUGUUCCUGAAACUGAAUCUCCGACACCAGCAAUUAAUGGAACAACUACAACUGUUCCCAGUACAGUACCAUCGACAACUUCUAUUAAUUCUAAAAUUAAAUUAACUACUAUUGAACAAAAAGUAGAAACAACAACUCCGAAUAUAAUUAUCAAGGAUAAUACAGAAUCUACAAUGCGUAGAAAAAGAGAAGUUUCAUUAAAUUCUAAAACAAUUUUUAAUGAAAAAUCUUUAGACUCGUCGGUGCCUCCUUUAAAUGAUGGUUUUUUGGAUGAAAGAUCAAAUUAUACUGGUUUUAUAGAGGUUAUAGUUUUCAGUAGUAGUGAGGAUCGAUUUCUACCUGCUUAUAGUGGUUAUUUUAAUCCUCUUUAUGGAGGAAUAGAUCUACGAAGUAUAACAGCUGAUGAAGUAACUAUGCUUGAAAUAAUAUUGCAAAUUUCUAUUGUUUUAAUAUUGAUCGUUAUGGUCCCGCUUAUUGCACUUUGCAUAUUACAUAGAUAUACUAAACGUGCACAGCAAAGGGGAGAAGAAAUUAUAACUUUAAGAAAUAGUUUCAGGCAUCUUUGUCGAAGUCUUCGCGGGAGGCAUCAGCUUGUGGCUGCAAGUCCACCUGAUAUGCCACCAAUUCCAAAGAAUGAAUUGUUGCAAGUAUAUCUUCAGCGUCACAGAGAUUCUGAUUAUGGCUUUCAACAUGAAUUUGAAUUAUUGCCUGAUAGAUUUACAGAUCGUACUACGCGUGCUUCUGAAGCUAGAGAAAAUUUAUAUAAAAAUCGUUAUCCAGAUAUUAAAUGUUAUGAUCAAACUAGAAUACGACUUACACAAAUAGAUGGUAUUUGCGGAUCAGAUUAUAUUAAUGCAAAUUUCGUUCUUGGUUAUAAAGAACGUAAAAAAUUCAUAUGUGCACAAGGUCCUAUGGAAAAUACAGUGUGCGAUUAUUGGAGAAUGAUUUGGGAACAACAUUUAGAAUUAAUUCUUAUGUUAACUAAUUUGGAGGAAUAUUCUAAAACAAAGUGUGCAAAAUAUUGGCCUGACAAGGGUGAAACGAAAAAUUUUGGAGAUAUAACGGUUGAACAUAUUCAUGAGAGAGCAUAUUCUGAUUAUGUUGUACGUGAAUUAAAAAUGACACGUCUUGGAGAACGUGAUGCCCGUACUAUAGUACAAUAUCAUUUCCUUGUGUGGAAAGAUUUUAUGGCACCAGAACAUCCUCAUGCAAUAUUAAGAUUUAUUAAAAGAGUAAAUGAAGCAUAUUCCUUGGAAAAAGGACCAAUAUUAGUACACUGUAGUGCAGGUGUUGGUAGAACAGGAACGUUAGUCGCCUUAGAUUCUUUAUUACAACAAUUAACAGAAGAGGGUCAAGUAUCUAUUUUUAAUACAGUAUGUGAUUUAAGACAUCAACGAAACUUUUUGGUGCAAUCUUUGAAACAGUAUAUUUUUAUUUAUCGUGCACUAAUGGAAAUGGCACAAUAUGGUGAUACAGAAAUUCCAGCAUCCCAAUUAAAAGCAACUGUUACACGAUUAAGACAGAGAGAUAAUGGUAAAGAAAAAUGUCGAAUGGAAGAGGAAUAUGAUAAAAUUAGUUCUUUAUUAGAAGAUAGAAAAUCUUUCUCUGUUGGAGGAGGUGAAGAAAACAGAGCAAAGAAUAGAAGUGAAUUAGUGAUACCAUAUGACAGAAAUCGAGUAAUACUUACACCUGUUCCAGGCAGAGAACAUUCAACAUAUAUAAAUGCUUCAUUUAUUGAAGGUUACGAUAAUUGUGAAUCAUUUGUUAUUACACAAGAUCCAUUGGAAACAACUAUAGCUGAUUUUUGGAGAAUGAUUUCCGAACAAUGUAUAUCUACAAUAGUAAUGUUAUCUGACUUGAAUGAAGGACCACGAAAGUGUCCACGAUAUUGGCCCGAUGAUGAAACUACUUAUGAUCAUAUAAGAGUACGAUACAUUCAAAGCGAAAGCUGUCCUUAUUACACCCGACGAGAGUUCUGUGUUUGUAAUACAAAGACAGAUGAAAUCGUAGUCGUAACACAAUAUCAGUAUCAUGGAUGGCCCACAGUGGAGGGCGAAGUACCUGAAGUAACACGAGGUCUAAUUGAACUUGUAAAUCAAACAGAAUCAAGUGGCUCGUUAGUAGUACAUUGCAGUUUUGGUUCGGAUAGAAGUUCGAUAUUUGUGGCAUUGAGCAUAUUAGUGCAACAAUUACAAACUGAGAAACGUGUAGAUAUUUUUACAACAACAAAGAAACUCCGUUCUCAGCGGCAUGGCAUGAUCAGUACUUUUGCUCAAUAUGAACUUUUAUAUCGUGCUAUUGUAAAUUAUUCAGAUCUUCACAAUCUUGCUGAUGGAGAAUCAGCCUCAUAAUAUCAACAAGUGUAAGUUGGAACAAGUUAUAGCACUUCACUUAUCAUGUUUGUUGACAGGAUAUGCAAGUUAUUUGCAAGCUUUUUACGAAAAAGAGUGCUUGAAGGUUUGUAAGUGUUGAGAUUAACAUAUAUUCAACCAACCAAAGAACAUCAGCAGAAAUAUAAUUGAACAAACAUAAUAUAAUAUUGAACAUAAAAUUGUGCAUAAGAUGAUUCAAGUUCCAUAAAUGUGGGCAUGAACAAAUUUUGCAUAUUAUAUUCUCAAUUUAGCUACUAGAGAAAUUUUGCACACACUAUCUUUUAACGAAUGGCCAAUAUUGUAUAUUCCUAAACAAGUAGGAUAAUAUUAAAUGCACAACUGAAACACGGGCUAUCAGUGAUAUUGAUCAAUGGUGGAGAAUGUAUAAGUCAAAGAAAACAGCAAUUCACUUCAGUCUAGUCUUAGCUGUAUCUUGACAAACAUGUUAUACGCGUUUAAUAACUGAUCGUAUAUGCGAUCUA